CUCGCUCGCAAACUACAGAAGACAUUUCAAUAUUGUGUGUUUUAUUUAUGAAUUUUAAAUUUCUAUAUGUGCCAUCGGUAUGUUACAGCCAUCGUGUUUUAGACAAAAGGACACACAGUCGACGCUGCAAACAGACACAAACAAUGACAUCAUAUUUACAUUGUGACGCUGACCAUGCCAAGUCAAACAGACUGUACUCACUUUUAGCUUUUUUAGUAGAAGCCCUAUGGAUUUUUCGGAGGACUUAGUAGGCCAUAUGUUGCGAGGGGGACGGUGUUGUGCGCGCGCAUCAGCCGUUUCCAUGGCAACAGGGGUGAGCUCCCGAGCUCAUGGGAGACCAUUGCUAGAUUUUGACGUGUUUGUGACGUCGCCGGUGGAUUUUUACCUCCUGUCUCUGGGAGGAUACACUUGAUCGGCAAAUCAAGGAAUUAGUCAAACUGGCGGCGGAGGCAGAUCACGCCGAUGAGUUUAUACCCCUGUUUGAGCCGGAUGACAGCGGCAUCGACAGUGACGACACGGAGCGAGUCGGUUCGAGCGCUAGACGGAACAGCAAUAGGAUAGUGGAAGAGGAGGAGACUAGCAGUGACGAGGAUCCUGUGAUUAGAUCAUGGUGGCCGGCAAAAAGGAAAAAUGAUGAUUUAUUGAAUGACCCUGCCAAUUAUGUAUGCCCAGCAAGAGUAUGGUGGCAAGUUGCAAAUAAGAAAAAUGAUGAACGAAAAAAUAUGAAGGUGCAAGUAGAUCCAGUGAAUAAAGCAAGGUGGGUCGCGGGGAGAGAUGACAGCGAAGGUUGUUGCAUGGACACUUUUGACCGGGCCUCCCCACCUCUCUAUGAAGUAGAACUAACUGCUUCUGACGAAGAUGACGACGCGUCUGUAUUAGAAUUAGUUAUACCGAUGCAGUCAAGAUAUCAAAGAGUACCAACCACCUCCCCAAAGAAGACGAAGCCUAGGGCACCAAGAUUUUUCUGCAACUUAUUCUGUUGUAUCCGUAAGUAAUUUUUCAAAUAUCUAUGUCGAUUUUUGAGUAGGUUCUAGGUAUUAAGUUUUAUUAAUAAUAUCUUGAACUUAAUAUGUGUCUUGACUGAAAUUUAAUUAUUAUGAUUGUUGUUAUUGUAAGUGUACAGUGUAUUGUUUUAUUAAGAUAUUUUCUAUUAGCUACUAAAAAUAUCGAGUGUAAUUGUUUGUCAAUAAAUGUCAUACAAAAAUAAUCUAAUAAAUAAGUUUAUAGUAUAUGGUAAUAUAAAGUAAGUAAUACGUCUAGCAUUCAAUCAUACAAUGGAAUACAUUUUACUUACAUAUUUUAUUAUAUAGACAAGAUACGAAAUGAUUGAGUUUUUGAAUUCAAUUCAGAAAUGUUUUAAAAAAGAUCAAAAAGAUUCUGGCCUAUGUCUAUAGUGUGAAGUAAAGUUAUAUGUAUUGAGGCAUAAUUUUAUUUAUGUAACAGGAAUUUGUAGAAAGGCGCUGGGGGGGGGGGGUUUGCUCGCAUAAAACAUGUACAUAUGUCUUCUUAAAUAUGUAACGCUGAAGCUUCGCUCGCAAUUUGGGUGGGCACGAUCCAUUUUAGUGUGACGUUAGACAAUUGUAUGUUACUUAUAAAAUCAGACUACUUGACUCGAAACAAGCUUUUGUUUAAUAUUUUGUUAAUUUAUAUCAAUCAUAAUUACAAAAUUGUAAUUUAUUUAUAUUUAUAAGUAAGAGGAGUGUAAGGAGAGUGAGGAUUGUAAAAAGGAAUGAGAUGAAAUGAUAAAAUAACUAAGUAUUUUGACUUAAGUACUUCUUUAACUUUUAUUUAGUAAGUAUGUAGGAUAAUUCAAUAUCGAUAAAGAAUUGUUGUAAAGGCCUAAUGAAAUAGGUCUGCCAUCAUGUUUUUUAUGUUAUAUAUUUUUUUCUAUUAUUAAAAUUCAAUUUUAUAGAGAAAGAUAGAUGUCAUUUUCUAAAACAAUGCAAAAUUUAAAUAUAAUUAUGCAUAAUUUAUGUGUUGUAAUGUCUUAAGACGUCAAUUUCAUGAUGACAGGUAAGUAAGAAUAAGUAUCGAUGUGGUAUCAAACUAGUGAUAAUAUUAAGUUAAACAUAUGGAAGUGAGAUUUAAUGAUUCGUCAAUUAAAAGGAUACGAACGACUAUUUGAGAUUAUUUUUUCAUAUACUGUAUUAAUAAUAUAUUAUUGUAUAAUAUUUUAUCAGAAAGGGACUUUCGACAAAAGUCGUCUAUUUAGCUACCUUCCUUCAUAUGUGUUUCUGCUAAGCAGACUUGCAUGACUGUGUCUUAAUUUUAAGGGCUCACCUAUCACAUAUAUUAAUGUGAAACAUAUUCUAAGGUGGCAGUGACAUUAUAUGAUUGUAAUUCAAGUAUUAUUUAUUGUAAUCCGCUAUUUUAGUAGAAAUUGUACUGUAUUUAUUUAUAAUAACUUGUAUUUAUAAAAUUUAAAGUGUUUUUGAUUUUCAUUGCAUUUUGAUUUACAUUUGUAUUACAUUGCAUACUAUGUUCUUUAUAUGAGGCCUCAGGGUAUGAAUAUUUUUUAUAUUUUUAUUAUGGCAGUGACUGAUUAUAAAAUGAACGGUUUAGUCCUGUUUUUAGAAAUAGCUAAGUGAAUAUUUGUACAUUUGAUUUUGGCAACUUCUUUAGUAAGAUAACUACACUGUACUGUACUUUAAUCCAAUUAACUAUUAUUAUGUAAGAUUUUGGGCCGAAAUAUACUUUAAAAAUUUGCCAAAUUAUGUAUGCUAGCUCAUUUACUUAGGAUUAAAUUUAAACAAUUACUUACAUACAAUUUUUAAUGUUUUAACGUAUCUCAUGUCUAAUACCUAAUAUUAAUUACUAUGUGAUAUUGCAUAGUUCGUGUGAUGAAAUGCAAGUUUAUUAAUUAUUAUAAUUUAUUUUCAUCGUUUAUUAAUAAUAAUGUGUGUUAAGAAUUAUUUUUUUAGUUUUUUAUGGUAUUAAAUUAUUUAACAUUAAAUUUAUAUACAUAAGCCUGAAUUGUAAAUGAUGUAAAUGAAAUUAUUUGACUUUUGUAAUAUUUAUUUACAGAUGGAUCAAUAAUUGUUUGAAUAGUUAAGUUAACACUUAACUUAUUACUUAACCAAUGUAUACUUAAUAUUCACAUAUAUUCAUAAAUAAUAAUAUAAUCUACAUAUACUUUGAAAUUAUUGAGUGUUUGUAAUAUAUUUUAAGAAAGGAGUAUUGAGUUUUUUUUUUUUAAUAAAGCAGGAACAUAACAUCCGGAUACCAUAGGCGAGACAGUAUACUCUGUUAUGUGUAUGGUACUGUUCAUGUCUAUAGGCGACGGUUAUCACUUUUCAUCAAGUGUGUUAUUAGCUUGUUUGCCAUUAUAAGUUGUAUAACAAAACAUAUAAAAUAUACAUAGAACUUAAUUAGUUAGAAAAAUACUGUACUGGAAGCCGUGGGAGCCUUUUGUUGCCAAGCCACCUAAGGGUCAAUGAAAUUGGCCUCCAGCGAAAUCAUAAAUAUUUUUUUCACAUAUAUUAUGGAAUUGUUAAUUUAUCAGUUGUUUAGAAAUAAAUUUUAUCUUAUAUUUUAUUUUAUAUUUUACUUGAAUCCUCAGGAAUGGCAACGCAUGGGAAACAGUAUAUUCUCUUAUGUCCAUAGUACUGCUCAUGUCUAUAGGCGACAAUUACCAC
Galleria mellonella (greater wax moth) is the source of this 3635-nucleotide long non-coding RNA. RefSeq lists it as uncharacterized. The record is from RefSeq and is a predicted model, not a curated record. Lineage: Eukaryota; Metazoa; Arthropoda; Insecta; Lepidoptera; Pyralidae. The transcript is spliced from 7 exons.